Molecule: unclassified non-coding RNA, 263 nt
Filed under: plant metagenome
Description: partial contains small subunit ribosomal RNA, internal transcribed spacer 1, and 5.8S ribosomal RNA
Source: RNAcentral
UUUCCGUAGGUGAACCUGCGGAAGGAUCAUUAUUGUAUAACCGAGGUGCGAGGGCCGUCGCUGACCCGAAAGGUCGUGCACGCCCGAGUGCCCUCACACACAUCCAUCUCACCCCUAUGUGCACCACCGCGUGGGUCCCCCUUUGGCUUGUUCGGAGGGGGGCUUACGUUUUCACACAAACUUUGUAUGCAGUGUAGAAUGUAUUUUUUGUUUUUGCGAUCACGCAAUCAAUACAACUUUCAACAAUGGAUCUCUUGGCUCUC